Long non-coding RNA from Ictalurus punctatus (channel catfish), 4361 nucleotides. Lineage: Eukaryota; Metazoa; Chordata; Actinopteri; Siluriformes; Ictaluridae. The record is from Ensembl.
AAGUGUCCAAUAGUGUCCAUCGGGUGCAUGCUGGUACCUGCAGAACUUUGGAAAGCAGUGUAAGAGUCGAGGUUUUGCUCUCUGGUGAGGAUAAGGGGCCUGACCACCAGGGUUUCAGCAAGUCCCACUGCUUCAGUACUCGCUCUGCCAGUCGUGAGCCUUGAGUCUUUCUGACGGAACGCUCACGGAAACUGUGGUCCAACAUGCCAUUGAGAAGGACGCUGACCUGAGAAACAACAGGCAUUCGUACAUUUAUAAACGCGCAUCGUCUUGUUCAAACGCAUACCGAAAGAGUAGCACGUCUUCCCGAGUGGGAAAAUUAAGCCAAAAUAUUAUUAAGAUGAGGGGAAGGGGGCAGGGCUUCCAGGGGUGUCAAUUAAUAUCGAAGAGAAGACUUUUUUGCUUCCUUUUGAGUAAUAAAUUAUGCAAAUGAGCUGUUAGACUAAAAACCUCCAUAUUCACACUUUCGAGUUUAUCCGUGACCUUUUCCAUUCAGGAUUUAGAAAUCAGGUUAUAUUGAACAAGAAAACAACAGCGCAACACUGAAUUUCUUCCUUUGUUCUCUUUCUCUUUUUUUUUUUUUAAGUCCUUGCAGGAGACCUUACCAUGCCAGGGCUCUGUGUGGCUGCGGUAAGCAGCAAAGGUACGGAGCGGUCCAGCUGCCGUAAAAGUUCUGCAUUGGUGGUGUUCUGGAAAAGGCUGUAGAAAUAUUCUCCGUGAGAGAAGCUGAGGAAGUGAGGAUUUAGACUGCCGGAUAGGGGCACGGACAGGGUGAUCGAGUUGAGCAACAGAGCCACCAAUUCCUCCGUCUGUGUAAUAAAAGAACAAGCAGGGUCAUUUCCUUACUGCGGGCGAUCUGCAUGGCUUUCGUGGGUGACGGUCUCAAAGUUACAAACAGAAAUUCUGCAAAAUCUGCUGUUGACAAGAAAGAAAAAAAAAGAAAAGAAAAAAAGAAACGACGUAUGUUGUACUUACCUGAUCACCCAGUGAGAAAGCCAGCUGCACAAGACCAUUAGCUAGUUUCCUGCUACUGACAUCCAUGGAGGGGAGGGACUUCCUGUUCUCUCCAGGUGCAAUGCCUUUGUAUACUGCCAUGAGAAGUCUGGAACCUAAAGAGCUACUGUAAGUCAAAUCCUGCACAAAAAAAAAACAACAACCCACAAUUACAUGGCAUUACAUUUACAGUAUUUCUCAGACGCUCUUAUCCAGAGCGACUUACAUUUAUCUAAUUUAUACAACUGAGCAGUUGAGGGUUAAGGGCCUCGCUCAAGGGUCGAACAGUGGGAGCUUAGGCAGUGCUGGGGCUUGAACUCCUGACCUUCUGAUCAGUAACCCAUAGCCUUUAACCGCUGACACACCACGGCCCCAUGUAAAUAAUAAAAACUGCCCUGAAAUCAAAUUGAGCUGAAUGCAGGAUACCUGUUCGUGUAGGACAGAGCUGAGAAUCCCACUCUGGUGAAGCUGUUUACAAGCUGAGAGUAAGAGUUCCAGCUUGGCAUGGCUGUCAUGAGUGUCCGGAUCAUACAGAUCUACCGCACACAACUCCUCCACACUGUUCGGGCAAACAUGGAACAGUAUUUACAGUGGAUACAACAAGUCUAUACACUCGUGUUAAAACGGCAGGGUUUCGUCAUAAAUCGUGUCAGAACGUUUCCCACCCUUAAUGUAAAAUGACAAAGGAUAAACAAAACAAAACAAAACUUACAAUACCAUAGAAGCAUAAGUGUGCACACCCCUAAACUAAUACUUUGUUCAAGUACCUUUUGAUUUUAUUUUGGGUAAGACUGCAUGGCACAUCUUGACCUGGGAAUUUUUCCCCCCACUCUUUCUUGGAGAAACAUUCUAGAGCUAUAAAAAAAAUUUAGAGGGCAAAUCUCCCGUGCAAAGCCCGCUUCAGGUCACUCCACAGAUUUUCAGUUGGAUUCAGGUCUGGGCUCUGGCGAGAUCAUUCAAAAACAUUGAUCUUCUUUAUGUUAAACCAUUCCUUUGUUGAUCUAGAUUCAUGCUUCGGGUCAGCGUCAUGUCGAAAAGGGGAAAUUCCGUUUCAUCUUCAGCUUACUAGCAGACACGUGACGAUGCACUAAAUCGACUGGAAUUUGUCCACCUCCACCUUAUUAAAAGCCCCAGUUCUGACUGAAGAAAAGCAGCCCUAAAGCAUGAUGCCACCACCACCAUGCUUCAACGUGAGUAUGGUGUUCUUUUGGUGAUGUGCGUUUUUUCUUUUGCACCAAACAUACUUUUUGAUAUUAUGGAUUAUUAUAACUUUUGGAAUCGGUCUCGUCUGACCAUAAGACAUUUUGCCACGAGGGGUUUUUUUUUUGUGUGUGAGAGAAAGGGUUUCCUUCUAGCCACCCUAUUCCAAAGUCCAGACAUGUGAAGAAUAUGAGAGAUUGUGGUCACAUGCAGAGAGUAAUCUGUACUUGUCAGAUGACUCUCCUGCAGCUCCUUUAAUGUUGCCGUGGGUCUCUUGGCAGCCUCCCUGGUAAGAUUUUGUCCUCUCCUUUUUAGUAAAUUUUGCAGGGACGUCCUGUUCUUGGUGAUGUCACUGUGGUGCUCUGUUUUCUACAUUUGUUGUCGGUUGCCUUCGUUGGUACAUUUAAUGUUAAGGAAAUACUUCAAUACCCCUCUCUCCUGAUCGAUUCCUUUCGACAGUGAGAUUCCCUGCAUGCUUCGUCAGCUCUUCGCAGACCAUGGCUUCAGCCUUCGGAUGAAACCAAGACGAUGUGAAGACAAGCCUACAGAAACAGCUGGUCUUUACUUGGGGUUGAUCAGAAUAAUUUCAUUGAUGACAGAUGUAUGAUAAUUACUUUUGAACGUGAGAUUGAAUGCCACGUCCCCAGUUAUAAAGGGGUGUGCACACUUAUGCAACCUUUUUAUUUUCCCCUUAAAUGUUUGAUUGUUUUACCCGUUGUGAUUUCAUAUUGAGAGCGGCGAAGUCCUGACAUGAUUUAUCUUAGUUUCAAUUUUUUCCAUCACCAAAACAUGCCAUUUUAACAGGGGUGUGCAGACUUUUUAUACCCACUGAAUACUGGAAUGAAUCGACAAGUUUAAACUGAUUAUUAUUAUUAUUAAUAUUAUUAAUAGUAGUAGUAGUAAUAUCAGACCAUUGGGCAGUUAUCUUCUUCCUAAUGCCAUUCUCCAGAUCAGUCCUGUAGGGUGUUGCGACUAGAGCCUUCAGCAAUGGUACACACACCUCCGGCAACCGAGUAAUCACCUCCAAAUCGGCCAUGUUGAAGCCAAUAGAAGAGGGUUCACAUACCACCAUGCUGACCAGCGUGAAGAAGGUGGCACUGAAAAAGUCCUCUUCCAGCAGCUGGAAUGAGAUUUUCAGACAAUGCAUGACAAGUUUUAUGUCCCUGUUUGGACCAAUAAAACGCAUCGUUGUGACAAGCAUCAGACCUUCCAGAGAUCCUUCUGGCAUUUAAGCAGCACCAUGGUGGAGAACUCCAGCAGGCGCACUAUGAUGGUGCACUUGCUGUAGUUGUAGAGCUCUGUCUCACGAGGGCUAAAGUGUGACCAAGUCGAGUCAGUCUCUUUGAAACAGGCCCUGGCAGCCUUCAGGUCAUGCAAUGCCAGUUCUGUCAGGAAGAAACGGAGGGCUGGCAGGAAGCUAGACUUCUCAGCAGAGUCUGGUUAAAAAAAAAAAGAAAAGAAAAGAAAAGAAAAAAAAAAAAGAGAGAUGGAGAUAAUCAUUUGUAGUGAAGUACUUAAUAAUAUAAGAACAAGUUUAACAGCAAGUUCUACCGUGUUGAUUGUUGUCAACGAUGAUAUUUUUUCUUUCAUUAAUAAUAAACAGACACACCACAAUAAUCUAAGACAAAUAAAGUUAUUUUGUUUUAUUUAAAAAAAAAAAAAAAAAACCUGUCAUACAAGUCCCGGUGAAUUGGCUGUUACUAUAGAAACCUAUUAGGAUGAGUGCGUUCAAAAAAAACAAACAAAUUCUGACCGAUUUGACAGCGCUGAAUUGAUCAUUUAAGUUUCUGAACUACUCAAACGUUCUGUGGUACUAUAACGUGCUUCGUUGACAUUGGCGAGUUUGGCUACCCAGAAUUCUGUGGGGCUGCAUGAGGCGGAGACUGGUGAAGGUGUUGUAGCAGUCAAGAACGGCCAGAAGAAGAUCCAUCCACUGCAGGGUGGCCCGGACACUGAAAGGGGCUUCCACUUCUCUCAAAGUAGGUUGGGAUAUCAAGCCUCCUCCUUCCAGAUGUGUAAUUAAAAACCCCUGACCCUCAUUUUUAACCUGCUCGUCCAGCCACUGUGCAGCAGUAGUAUUACCUGAGCAUGAAGGAAAAAGAAAUCAGAGUGGGUCUGAAAUCCCAUACAAUCGCUUAUCUCUUAAUCUACAAUUACAGCUAUAAUCC